UUACUAUGAUGACCAUUUAGGACACCUUUGUAUUAACCAUGAAACAACUUUUUUUUUUUAAUCUGAGCUAU
Hypomesus transpacificus is the source of this 71-nucleotide small nucleolar RNA. RefSeq annotates it as small nucleolar RNA SNORD58. The transcript has a single exon. NCBI's taxonomy places the organism in Eukaryota, Metazoa, Chordata, Actinopteri, Osmeriformes, Osmeridae. The record is from RefSeq and is a predicted model, not a curated record.